Pogoniulus pusillus (Red-fronted tinkerbird) is the source of this 619-nucleotide long non-coding RNA. RefSeq lists it as uncharacterized. The record is from RefSeq and is a predicted model, not a curated record. NCBI's taxonomy places the organism in Eukaryota, Metazoa, Chordata, Aves, Piciformes, Lybiidae. The transcript has 3 exons.
CUGCUAUACACCACAGGAGAAGGAGGCUUGGAAUAGGAGAGCUUGAUUCCCAAUAAACAGCUGCUCUGCAACUGGAUCAUUGCUAAACAUGGAGCACUACAGAGGACACCUAUUGAUGCCAGGCCUUUCAAAGGUUGCACAGCUGAGGAGCUUUGCCUCAUAAGAAAUGAAAGUUCAGGUGGUGAAAGGAAGGAGAUGGACACAGGAAUAUGAGACCUACUUGAGCAAAGACUUGUGUAAGGCUUGGACGCUGCUGCCCUGAGCCAGACUGGACCUGACAGUGCUGGAGGGCACAUUGCUCUGAGCUGUGUCAGCUGCUGUAGAGGAUGCAGCUUCUGUAAGCAGGAAUCUCCGCUCCCAGAGCAAGCAUCUAGUCUGCAGCCCAGGUCAGCUGUGGUUUGGUCUUCAGCAGAAGAUGGGGAAGAGAAAGGAAAGUAGAAGCACCUCUUAGGUGCCCCUUGUCUCUCUGUCUUUGUUCAGUGCCUAACCCAGACCAAACCCCAAGUGCUUCAGUGCAGACUGAUUGUCUCCUCCUUCAUACUCCCUUGUUAAAGUGCAAAUGAACAUGACUAAAACAUCAGGGUGCUGCAGCCUGGUUUGUGCCCAGGGUCCUAGAGAA